AUUGAACGCUGGCGGCAUGCCUUACACAUGCAAGUCGAACGGCAGCGGACCUUCGGGUGCCGGCGAGUGGCGAACGGGUGAGUAAUAUAUCGGAACGUACCUUUCAGUGGGGGAUAACGUAGCGAAAGUUACGCUAAUACCGCAUAUUCUGUGAGCAGGAAAGCAGGGGAUCGCAAGACCUUGCGCUGAUUGAGCGGCCGAUAUCAGAUUAGCUAGUUGGUGAGGUAAAGGCUCACCAAGGCGACGAUCUGUAGCGGGUCUGAGAGGAUGAUCCGCCACACUGGACCUGAGACACGGUCCAGACUCCUACGGGAGGCAGCAGUGGGGAAUUUUGGACAAUGAGCGCAAGCCUGAUCCAGCCAUGCCGCGUGAGUGAAGAAGGCCUCGGUUGUAAGUAC
This 398-nucleotide ribosomal RNA is filed under the name uncultured bacterium. RNAcentral describes it as "bacterial SSU rRNA". It matches the Rfam family "Bacterial small subunit ribosomal RNA", at positions 30 to 431 of the family's 1533-position model. The record is from RNAcentral.